UGCGAAUCUCGAAAGCCUGUCUCAGUUCGGAUUGGAGGCUGAAACCCGCCUCCAUGAAGUUGGAUUCGCUAGUAAUCGCGCAUCAGCCAUGGCGCGGUGAAUACGUUCCCGGGCCCUUGUACACACCGCCCGUCAAGCCAUGGAAGCUGGGGGUGCCUGAAGUUCGUGACCGGAAGGAGCGACCUAGGGCAAAACCGGUGACUGGGGCUAAGUCGUAACAAGGUACC
This 227-nucleotide ribosomal RNA is filed under the name uncultured bacterium. Its description in RNAcentral is "partial 16S ribosomal RNA". It matches the Rfam family "Bacterial small subunit ribosomal RNA", at positions 1266 to 1500 of the family's 1533-position model. The record is from RNAcentral.